AAGUCGUAACAAGGUAACCGUAGGUGAACCUGCGGUUGGAUCAUUAACAAUUAUUAUUGAAUUCUCCCCCCCCCACACCCCUUCACCGGGAGGGGGGGCGGUAGGUUCUCUAACACUUGUGUGCACUGUUUAUUGUCUCUCGGCGUUCGAGGGUUGGGGGUUGUCCCCAAGGAGCUAGCUUCCUUGGCCUCCCCCUUGGGCUUUUUUUUACAAGCCUUGACCUACCCCUGAGCGUCAACUUAAACUUGAUUUUAUUUAUACUAUAAGCCUUUAAUUUUAAAUUUAUAAUUUGAAAACAACUUUUAACAACGGAUCUCUAGGCUCUCA
This 327-nucleotide unclassified non-coding RNA is filed under the name fungal sp. RNAcentral's name for it is "partial internal transcribed spacer region". The stretch from base 1 to 46 matches the Rfam family "Eukaryotic small subunit ribosomal RNA", at positions 1786 to 1831 of the family's 1831-position model. Lineage: Eukaryota; Fungi. The record is from RNAcentral.